AUUGAACGCUGGCGGCAGGCCUAACACAUGCAAGUCGAGCGAGCGGCGGACGGGUGAGUAAUGUCUGGGAAACUGCCUGAUGGAGGGGGAUAACUACUGGAAACGGUAGCUAAUACCGCAUACCCUCAGAUGUGCCCAGAUGGGUUUAGAUAGUCGGUGGGGUAACGGCUCACCUAGGCGACGAUCCCUAGCUGGUCUGAGAGGAUGACCAGCCACACUGGAACGAGGACACGGUCCAGACUCCUACGGGAGGCAGCGGUGGGAAAUAUUGCACAAUGGGCGCAAUCCUGAUGAAGCAAUGCGGGGUGGGUGUAGAAGGCCUUGGGUUUGUAAAGCACUUUCAGCGGGGAGGCGUUACCCGCAUAAGAAGCACCGGCUAACUCCGUGCCAGCCGCCGCGGUAAUUC
This 406-nucleotide ribosomal RNA is filed under the name uncultured bacterium. RNAcentral describes it as "partial 16S ribosomal RNA". It matches the Rfam family "Bacterial small subunit ribosomal RNA", at positions 30 to 526 of the family's 1533-position model. The record is from RNAcentral.